RNAcentral lists this non-coding RNA (190 nucleotides) under Levilactobacillus bambusae. RNAcentral describes it as "6S / SsrS RNA". It matches the Rfam family "6S / SsrS RNA". From Rfam's summary of the family: E. coli 6S RNA was the first non coding RNA to be sequenced, but its function was unknown until recently. It consists of 184 nucleotides that fold into an extended hairpin structure with a large single-stranded internal bulge. The 6S RNA specifically associates with RNA polymerase holoenzyme containing the sigma70 specificity factor. Lineage: Bacteria; Bacillati; Bacillota; Bacilli; Lactobacillales; Lactobacillaceae. The record is from Rfam by way of RNAcentral.
UGAGUUCUAAAGUGUUCGCCUUGUCGAAUAAAACGUUGCCGAUCAAGUAAUUACUUUAGGGAGCAGCUUCAACUUCGAGAAGAUGGCAUGCCCCAACACGGGGAAGUCAGGCGCUCGAUCAGUUGCGCCCACCUGCACUAGACUGCGGGCCACUACUAUGAGACAAAUUAGCGGCACAGUUAGAACUUUC